GACGAACGCUGGCGGCGUGCUUAACACAUGCAAGUCGAACGGAAAGGCCCUGCUUUUGUGGGUUGCUCGAGUGGCGAACGGGUGAGUAACACGUGAGUAACCUGCCCUUGACUUUGUGAUAACUUCUCGAAACUGGGGCUCAUACCGGAUAUGAGCUCCUGCUGCAUGGUGGGGGUUGGAAAGUUUCGGCGGUUGUGGAUGGACUCGCUGCUUAUCCGCUUGUUUGUGGGGUAGUUGCUUACCAAGGGUUUGACGGGUAGCCGGCCUGAGAGGGGGACCGGCCACAUUGGGACUGAGAGACGGACCAGAAUCGUACGGGAGGCAGCAGGGGGGAAUAUUGCACAAUGGGCGGAAGCCUGAGGCAGCAACGCCGCGUGCGGGAUGACGGCCUUCGGGUGGUAAACAGCUUUCGCCUGUGACGAAGCGUGAGUGACGGUAAUGGGUAAAGAAGCACCGGCUAACUACGUG
This 468-nucleotide ribosomal RNA is filed under the name uncultured bacterium. RNAcentral describes it as "partial 16S ribosomal RNA". It matches the Rfam family "Bacterial small subunit ribosomal RNA", at positions 28 to 507 of the family's 1533-position model. The record is from RNAcentral.